UACGGGGGGGGCAAGCGUUGUUCGGAAUUACUGGGCGUAAAGGGCUCGUAGGUGGUCAACUAAGUCAUACGUGAAAUCCCUCGGCUUAACCGGGGAACUGCGCCUGAUACUGGUUGACUUGAGUUUGGGAGAGGGACGCGGAAUUCCAGGUGUAGCGGUGAAAUGCGUAGAUAUCUGGAGGAACACCGGUGGCGAAGGCGGCAUCCUGGACCGACACUGACACUGAGGAGCGAAAGCCAGGGGAGCAAACGGG
This 253-nucleotide ribosomal RNA is filed under the name uncultured bacterium. RNAcentral's name for it is "partial 16S ribosomal RNA". It matches the Rfam family "Bacterial small subunit ribosomal RNA", at positions 524 to 776 of the family's 1533-position model. The record is from RNAcentral.